RNAcentral lists this long non-coding RNA (345 nucleotides) under Homo sapiens (human). RNAcentral's name for it is "LNC_000282". Lineage: Eukaryota; Metazoa; Chordata; Mammalia; Primates; Hominidae. The record is from RNAcentral.
UUCACUUUCAGUCUCCUUCUUCGGCUCUGGCGCUGCCACUGGCUCUUCCUGUGCUAAUGUGGUUGUGGCAGCUGCAAUGGCUGCAGGGGUCACAGCAGCUGCAGCAGCUGCAGCCACAGCCUUUUCCUUCUUGUGUUUUUUGUGCUUCUUGUGCUUCUUAUCCUUUUUGUGUUUCUUGUCCUUCUUUUUCUUCUUUUUCUUUCCACCUCCUUCCUGAUCUGAAUUUCUUGGCGGUGAUGGGCUCGGUGUUGGGCUUUUGGCCUUUUUGACCGGUACAGCUGGUGACCAGUUUGUAGACGGUGACUGAGACUGGACGGGGGAUGGAGGUGCUGGGGGCUUUUUAGC